RNAcentral lists this ribosomal RNA (445 nucleotides) under uncultured bacterium. RNAcentral describes it as "partial 16S ribosomal RNA". It matches the Rfam family "Bacterial small subunit ribosomal RNA", at positions 354 to 796 of the family's 1533-position model. The record is from RNAcentral.
GUGAGGAAUAUUGGUCAAUGGGCGGAAGCCUGAACCAGCCAUGCCGCGUGAAGGACGAAGGCGUUCUGCGUUGUACACUUCUUUUAUAAGGGAAGAAACCUGCGAUGUCUAUUGCAGCCGACGGUACCUUAUGAAUAAGCACCGGCUAACUCCGUGCCAGCAGCCGCGGUAAUACGGAGGGUGCAAGCGUUAUCCGGAUUCACUGGGUUUAAAGGGUGUGUAGGCGGGCUUGUAAGUCAGGGGUGAAAUCCUACAGCUUAACUGUAGAACUGCCUUUGAUACUAUAGGUCUUGAAUAUUGUUGAGGUGGGCGGAAUACAUCAUGUAGCGGUGAAAUGCUUAGAUAUGAUGUAGAACACCGAUUGCGAAGGCAGCUCACUAAGCAAAUAUUGACGCUGGGGCACGAAAGCGUGGGGAUCAAACAGGAUUAGAUACCCGGGUAGUCC